AUUGAACGCUGGCGGCAUGCCUUACACAUGCAAGUCGAACGGUAACGCGGGGCAACCUGGCGACGAGUGGCGAACGGGUGAGUAAUGCAUCGGAACGUGCCCAGUGGUGGGGGAUAGCCCGGCGAAAGCCGGAUUAAUACCGCAUACGACCUUCGGGUGAAAGGGGGGGAUCGCAAGACCUCUCGCUAUUGGAGCGGCCGAUGUCAGAUUAGGUAGUUGGUGGGGUAAAAGCCUACCAAGCCGACGAUCUGUAGCUGGUCUGAGAGGACGACCAGCCACACUGGGACUGAGACACGGCCCAGACUCCUACGGGAGGCAGCAGUGGGGAAUUUUGGACAAUGGGCGCAAGCCUGAUCCAGCCAUGCCGCGUGCGGGAAGAAGGCCUUCGGGUUGUAAACCGCUUUUGUCAGGGAAGAAACGCUUCGAGCUAAUACCUCGGAGUAAUGACGGUACCUGAAGAAUAAGCACCGGCUAACUACGUGCCAGCAGCCGCGGUAA
Molecule: ribosomal RNA, 498 nt
Filed under: uncultured bacterium
Lineage: Bacteria
Description: partial 16S ribosomal RNA
Rfam family: Bacterial small subunit ribosomal RNA
Source: RNAcentral